This 498-nucleotide ribosomal RNA is filed under the name Haloferax volcanii. RNAcentral's name for it is "bacterial SSU rRNA". It matches the Rfam family "Archaeal small subunit ribosomal RNA", at positions 331 to 828 of the family's 1478-position model. The record is from RNAcentral. Lineage: Archaea; Methanobacteriati; Methanobacteriota; Halobacteria; Halobacteriales; Haloferacaceae.
UGCAGCAGGCGCGAAACCUUUACACUGCACGCAAGUGCGAUAAGGGGACCCCAAGUGCGAGGGCAUAUAGUCCUCGCUUUUCUCGACUGUAAGGCGGUCGAGGAAUAAGAGCUGGGCAAGACCGGUGCCAGCCGCCGCGGUAAUACCGGCAGCUCAAGUGAUGACCGAUAUUAUUGGGCCUAAAGCGUCCGUAGCCGGCCACGAAGGUUCAUCGGGAAAUCCGCCAGCUCAACUGGCGGGCGUCCGGUGAAAACCACGUGGCUUGGGACCGGAAGGCUCGAGGGGUACGUCCGGGGUAGGAGUGAAAUCCCGUAAUCCUGGACGGACCACCGAUGGCGAAAGCACCUCGAGAAGACGGAUCCGACGGUGAGGGACGAAAGCUAGGGUCUCGAACCGGAUUAGAUACCCGGGUAGUCCUAGCUGUAAACGAUGCUCGCUAGGUGUGACACAGGCUACGAGCCUGUGUUGUGCCGUAGGGAAGCCGAGAAGCGAGCCGCC